GAACGUACGCUGGCGGCACGCCUAACACAUGCAAGUCGAACGAAGUAGCAAUACUUAGUGGCAGACGGGUGAGUAACAUGUAGGUAUCUACCCUUUGGCCUGGAAUAACACGAGGAAACUUGUGCUAAUACCGGAUAAGUCUUUACGGAGAAAGCUUUAUGCACCAUUGGAUGAGCCUGCACUUGAUUAGUUUGUUGGUGGGGUAAUGGCCUACCAAGACUGUGAUCAAUAGCUGAUUUGAGAGGAUGAUCAGCCACAUUGGGACUGAGACACGGCCCAAACUCCUACGGGAGGCAGCAGUGGGGAAUCUUGCACAAUGGAGGAAACUCUGAUGCAGCGAUGCCGCGUGAGUGAAGAAGGCCCUUGGGUUGUAAAGCUCUUUCGUCGGGGAAGAAAAUGACUGUACCCGAAUAAGAAGGUCCGGCUAACUUCGUGCCAGCAGCCGCGGUAAUACGAAGGGACCUAGCGUAGUUCGGAAUUACUGGGCUUAAAGAGUUCGUAGGUGGUUGAAAAAGUUAGUGGUGAAAUCCCAGAGCUUAACUCUGGAACUGCCAUUAAAACUUUUCAGCUAGAGUAUGAUAGAGGAAAGCAGAAUUUCUAGUGUAGAGGUGAAAUUCGUAGAUAUUAGAAAGAAUACCAAUUGCGAAGGCAGCUUUCUGGAUCAUUACUGACACUGAGGAACGAAAGCAUGGGUAGCGAAGAGGAUUAGAUACCCUCGUAGUCCAUGCCGUAAACGAUGUGUGUUAGACGUUGGAAAUUUAUUUUCAGUGUCGCAGCGAAAGCGAUAAACACACCGCCUGGGGAGUACGACCGCAAGGUUAAAACUCAAAUGAAUUGACGGGGACCCGCACAAGUAGUGGAGCAUGUGGUUUAAUUCGAAGAUACGCGCAGAACCUUACCAACACUUGACAUGUUCGUCGCGACUCUAAGAGAUUAGAGUUUUCGGUUCGGCCGGACGAAACACAGGUGCUGCAUGGCUGUCGUCAGCUCGUGUCGUGAGAUGUUGGGUUAAGUCCCGCAACGAGCGCAACCCUCAUUUUUAGUUGCCAUCAUUAAGUUGGGCACUCUGAAAGAACUGCCAGUGAUAAGCUGGAGGAAGGUGGGGAUGACGUCAAGUCCUCAUGGCCCUUACGUGUUGGGCUACACACGUGCUACAAUGGUAUCUACAAAAGGAAGCAAGACUGCGAGGUCAAGCAAAUCCUUAAAAGAUACCUCAGUUCGGAUUGCACUCUGCAACUCGAGUGCAUGAAGCUGGAAUUACUAGUAAUCGUGGAUCAGCGUGCCACGGUGAAUGCGUUCCCGGGUCUUGUACACACCGCCCGUCACACCAUGGGAGUUGGUUCUACCUUAAGGCAAGGUUUAAAAUCCUUGACCACGGUAUAGUCAGCGACUGGGGU
Molecule: ribosomal RNA, 1397 nt
Filed under: uncultured bacterium
Lineage: Bacteria
Description: bacterial SSU rRNA
Rfam family: Bacterial small subunit ribosomal RNA
Source: RNAcentral